This 240-nucleotide unclassified non-coding RNA is filed under the name soil metagenome. Its description in RNAcentral is "partial contains 5.8S ribosomal RNA, internal transcribed spacer 2, and large subunit ribosomal RNA". The record is from RNAcentral.
AACCAUAGAAACCUGCGGAGUACCUGCGGAAGGAUCAUUAUUGGAAAACCUUUUCUAUAAGUUGCAGGAGGGGGGGGAAGAGUGGGCUUUUCUGGUCACUUCCUUCUUUCUUUCUCUUCUGCUUCUUCAAACAAACGAUCACAACUAUAUUGAGAGAUUGAAUGAAUUGGAUGAUAAUGAUUUGGUGGUGGGGAAAAGAGACAAGUGCGGGGCAGAUAGACAGAAAUGUCUUGUUUGUUC